This 45-nucleotide non-coding RNA is filed under the name Schistosoma margrebowiei. Lineage: Eukaryota; Metazoa; Platyhelminthes; Trematoda; Strigeidida; Schistosomatidae. The record is from RNAcentral.
AUCCAACUGACGAGUCCUAAAUAGGACGAAUUGCACGUCCUAGAU